Molecule: unclassified non-coding RNA, 237 nt
Filed under: Hevea brasiliensis (rubber tree)
Lineage: Eukaryota; Viridiplantae; Streptophyta; Magnoliopsida; Malpighiales; Euphorbiaceae
Source: RNAcentral
AAUUGGCAACCAACAAUCCAAAACUAACACAGUUGUACCAAAUCACCUGAGUAAGAAAGUUAAUAGUCCAAAUUUGUUCAAGUUGAGUGCAAGAACUCGAAUUUGAGCCCAGUAAGAGCCAAAUGAACUGAAAAAAGAAGAAAAAAUGUAAAGUCUGCUGUUAGGAUAAAAACAUAAAGAGAGAACCAAAGCUGAAACACAGAAGGAAAAAUCUUCUUUGCAUCAUUACAGGAAAUA